Molecule: ribosomal RNA, 301 nt
Filed under: uncultured bacterium
Lineage: Bacteria
Description: partial 16S ribosomal RNA
Rfam family: Bacterial small subunit ribosomal RNA
Source: RNAcentral
CAGUCGCCACGGUAAUACGAAGGGGGCUAGCGUUGUUCGGAAUUACUGGGCGUAAAGCGCACGUAGGCGGAUAUUUAAGUCAGGGGUGAAAUCCCAGAGCUCAACUCUGGAACUGCCUUUGAUACUGGGUAUCUUGAGUAUGGAAGAGGUAAGUGGAAUUCCGAGUGUAGAGGUGAAAUUCGUAGAUAUUCGGAGGAACACCAGUGGCGAAGGCGGCUUACUGGUCCAUUACUGACGCUGAGGUGCGAAAGCGUGGGGAGCAAACAGGAUUAGAUACCCCCGUAGUCCCUGUCUCUUAUAC